This 253-nucleotide ribosomal RNA is filed under the name uncultured bacterium. Its description in RNAcentral is "partial 16S ribosomal RNA". It matches the Rfam family "Bacterial small subunit ribosomal RNA", at positions 524 to 776 of the family's 1533-position model. The record is from RNAcentral.
UACGUAGGGUGCGAGCGUUGUCCGGAAUUAUUGGGCGUAAAGAGCUUGUAGGCGGUUUGUCGCGUCUGCUGUGAAAUCUCAAGGCUCAACCUUGAGCUUGCAGUGGGUACGGGCAGACUAGAGUGUGGUAGGGGAGACUGGAAUUCCUGGUGUAGCGGUGAAAUGCGCAGAUAUCAGGAGGAACACCGAUGGCGAAGGCAGGUCUCUGGACCACUACUGACGCUGAGAAGCGAAAGCGUGGGGAGCGAACAGG